AUUGAACGCUGGCGGCAUGCUUUACACACGCAAGUCGAGCGGCAGCGCGGGGCAACCUGGCGGCGAGCGGCGAACGGGUGAGUAAUGCAUCGGAACGUACCCAUUUGUGGGGGAUAACUAUCCGAAAGGAUAGCUAAUACCGCAUAAGUCCUGAGGGAGAAAGCGGGGGAUCGCAAGACCUCGCGCGAAUGGAGCGGCCGAUGCCGGAUUAGCUAGUUGGUAGGGUAAAGGCCUACCAAGGCGACGAUCCGUAGCUGGUCUGAGAGGAUGAUCAGCCACACUGGGACUGAGACACGGCCCAGACUCCUACGGGAGGCAGCAGUGGGGAAUUUUGGACAAUGGGCGAAACCCUGAUCCAGCCAUUCCGCGUGAGUGAAGAAGGCCUUCGGGUUGUAAAGCUCUUUCGGCAGGAACGAAACGGUUUGGGCUAAUACCCUGAGCUAAUGACGGUACCUGAAGAAGAAGCACCGGCUAACUACGUG
This 482-nucleotide ribosomal RNA is filed under the name uncultured bacterium. Its description in RNAcentral is "bacterial SSU rRNA". It matches the Rfam family "Bacterial small subunit ribosomal RNA", at positions 29 to 507 of the family's 1533-position model. The record is from RNAcentral.